Molecule: ribosomal RNA, 465 nt
Filed under: uncultured bacterium
Lineage: Bacteria
Description: partial 16S ribosomal RNA
Rfam family: Bacterial small subunit ribosomal RNA
Source: RNAcentral
AUGAACGCUGACGGCGUGCUUAACACAUGCAAGUCGAACGAUGAAGCCCAGCUUGCUGGGUGGAUUAGUGGCGAACGGGUGAGUAACACGUGAGUAACCUGCCCUUAACUCUGGGAUAAGCCUGGGAAACUGGGUCUAAUACCGGAUAGGAGCGUCCACCGCAUGGUGGGUGUUGGAAAGAUUUAUCGGUUUUGGAUGGACUCGCGGCCUAUCAGCUUGUUGGUGAGGUAAUGGCUCACCAAGGCGACGACGGGUAGCCGGCCUGAGAGGGUGACCGGCCACACUGGGACUGAGACACGGCCCAGACUCCUACGGGAGGCAGCAGUGGGGAAUAUUGCACAAUGGGCGAAAGCCUGAUGCAGCGACGCCGCGUGAGGGAUGACGGCCUUCGGGUUGUAAACCUCUUUCAGUAGGGAAGAAGCGAAAGUGACGGUACCUGCAGAAGAAGCACCGGCUAACUACGUG